This 393-nucleotide ribosomal RNA is filed under the name uncultured bacterium. RNAcentral describes it as "partial 16S ribosomal RNA". It matches the Rfam family "Bacterial small subunit ribosomal RNA", at positions 523 to 918 of the family's 1533-position model. The record is from RNAcentral.
AUACGGAGGAUCCGAGCGUUAUCCGGAUUUAUUGGGUUUAAAGGGAGCGUAGGCGGACGCUUAAGUCAGUUGUGAAAGUUUGCGGCUCAACCGUAAAAUUGCAGUUGAUACUGGGUGUCUUGAGUACAGUAGAGGCAGGGGGAAUUUCUGGUGUAGCGGUGAAAUGCUUAGAUAUCACGAAGAACUCCGAUUGCGAAGGCAGCCUGCUGGACUGUAACUGACGCUGAUGCUCGAAAGUGUGGGUAUCAAACAGGAUUAGAUACCCUGGUAGUCCACACAGUAAACGAUGAAUACUCGCUGUUUGCGAUAUACAGUAAGCGGCCAAGCGAAAGCGUUAAGUAUUCCACCUGGGGAGUACGCCGGCAACGGUGAAACUUAAAGGAAUUGACGGGG